This 138-nucleotide microRNA precursor is filed under the name Manihot esculenta (cassava). Lineage: Eukaryota; Viridiplantae; Streptophyta; Magnoliopsida; Malpighiales; Euphorbiaceae. The record is from RNAcentral.
UGAAAUAGCGAUUGUGAUAUUGGCCUGGUUCACUCAGACAUGGAAAACCUACCCUUAAUUUCUUGCUUCUUUUGCUUGAGUGAAGGGUGGUGUUGUCUUGUUUUGAUUGAGCCGUGCCAAUAUCUCAGUUCUCUUUCA